This 507-nucleotide ribosomal RNA is filed under the name uncultured Enterobacter sp. Its description in RNAcentral is "bacterial SSU rRNA". It matches the Rfam family "Bacterial small subunit ribosomal RNA", at positions 505 to 1015 of the family's 1533-position model. The record is from RNAcentral. Lineage: Bacteria; Pseudomonadati; Pseudomonadota; Gammaproteobacteria; Enterobacterales; Enterobacteriaceae.
GUGCCAGCAGCUGCGGUAAUACGGAGGGUGCAAGCGUUAAUCGGAAUUACUGGGCGUAAAGCGCACGCAGGCGGUCUGUCAAGUCGGAUGUGAAAUCCCCGGGCUCAACCUGGGAACUGCAUUCGAAACUGGCAGGCUAGAGUCUUGUAGAGGGGGGUAGAAUUCCAGGUGUAGCGGUGAAAUGCGUAGAGAUCUGGAGGAAUACCGGUGGCGAAGGCGGCCCCCUGGACAAAGACUGACGCUCAGGUGCGAAAGCGUGGGGAGCAAACAGGAUUAGAUACCCUGGUAGUCCACGCCGUAAACGAUGUCGACUUGGAGGUUGUGCCCUUGAGCGUGGCUUCCGGAGCUAACGCGUUAAGUCGACCGCCUGGGGAGUACGGCCGCAAGGUUAAAACUCAAAUGAAUUGACGGGGCCCGCACAAGCGGUGAGCAUGUGGUUAAUUCGAUGCAACGCGAAGAACCUUACCUACUCUUGACAUCCAGAGAACUUAGCAGAGAUGCUUUGGU